UGACAAUAGGAAAGUGUUCAGGACAAAGGAGCUCAAGCUUUCUGCUUUUUUAGUAAAAUAGUCAACCCAGUCUCACAGAAAUGUGGUAUUUGCAGCAUCUUCCAUUCCAUAAUUGGAGACUUUUGUGCAGCUGGUUCCUGUUCAGCUGAUGGAAAUCACUUUGGGAGACAAAAGCCACAGGAAGUCAUCAGAGGAAUAUAUAUUGCUGCUAUGAACAGUGCUUCAGGGCCCCAAUUUCAUCCUGACCUUGGCCCAAUGACUGUGAGAAGUUCUGUGUGUUUUGUGUCGGCUUCGUCAUGGUUCUCCUGUUUGUUUGUUUUUACCCCAAAAACAUGCAUGUAUGUGUUGAUGCAAAGUUGCUUCUUAGUGUUUAUAACUGUGUAAAUUUGAGUGCAUGAUACCUCUGAUAGACUGCUUCCCCAUUAGGGGAUAAUUAUAGUAUCAUGCCCAGUGUUUCAAAGAUAAACUCUGGAACUGCCAAAACCAUGACCAAGAUAAAAUGAUUACUGAAGCUUAAUAAAUGAAUAAAAGAGAAAGUAGAGAAAAAAUUAUAAAUAGGGUCACUUCACUGUUGAUGUUAAUUAUGUUUGUAAUCAUUGCUAAUUAGUCACAUGGAAAUGUUUAGUAAGGAAACCAAUUAAGCAUAUGUUUUAUAUGAUAUGAACAUUUGCAUGUUUUUAUCUUGAUGUUCUUUUGUUCUUGAUGUACUUUAAUAUGAGAACUGUUAUACAACAGCUAGAUUUUUUUUUGUGAA
Molecule: long non-coding RNA, 754 nt
Organism: Silurus meridionalis
Lineage: Eukaryota; Metazoa; Chordata; Actinopteri; Siluriformes; Siluridae
Exons: 4
Source: RefSeq, a predicted model, not a curated record